Molecule: non-coding RNA, 470 nt
Filed under: Pongo abelii (Sumatran orangutan)
Lineage: Eukaryota; Metazoa; Chordata; Mammalia; Primates; Hominidae
Source: RNAcentral
AUAGUGAAGUUAUGAUAUGAGAAGCACUGACUUGGCACAAGACUUGGGAAAGGCAAUGAGGCAGCAGGCAAGCUUUAAGGGGUGACACUUACCUUGAGGGAGCAAGGACAAGUUGUGACCUUCCCAGUCCUCUCUCCAUUUGCAAAUCAGCAAGCUUCUGUCAGCAAGGAGGGGUGGACAAAGAAACUGUUUGGGUUCAGCUUGAUUUGUUUUUUGAGACAGGUGUGGCAAGGGGCUGCCAUCAAAAUCAAGCUGCAGAGGAAACAGCCACCUGGGGCGUGUUCUUACGUCGCCUGGAAGCUGCACAAGAGGCCAAGUCAGAACAUGCAGAAUUCCAGUUGCCCAUGAUGUCACAGGCUGAGGCCCACACUCCAGAGACACUGUGGACUGACUGGCACCUAUGAGCUGACCUAAUAACAGUCGCACCAUUACAGCUCCAAUUCUACAGAACAAUACAUACCCAGUUCUUA